AAGCUCGUAGUUGAAUUCGGGGUUAGUAGGUUGGUCAUGCCUCUGGUAUGUACUGGUCUCACUGAUUCCUCCUUCCUUAUGAACCGUAAUGCCAUUAAUUUGGUGUUGCGGGGAAUUUGGACNGUUACUUUGAAAAAAUUGAGUGUUUAAAGCAAGCUAACGCUUGAAUACAUUAGCAUGGAAUAAUGAAAUAGGACGUUCGAUCUUAUUUUGUUGGUUUCUAGGAUUGACGUAAUGAUUAAUAGGGAUAGUUGGG
Molecule: ribosomal RNA, 256 nt
Filed under: uncultured Glomus
Lineage: Eukaryota; Fungi; Glomeromycota; Glomeromycetes; Glomerales; Glomeraceae
Description: partial 18S ribosomal RNA
Rfam family: Eukaryotic small subunit ribosomal RNA
Source: RNAcentral